GCAUAGUCAUGGACUGCUCAGAAGAAACCGCAACUCACGCCUCGUGGUGUCCCACUGUUCCUGAAGACAAAACAGUGCCUUGGGCAUGGUCGCUGUCCGAGGUGCUGAAGGAAAGGGCCAAUUGGAUUCCAACCAGUUUUACUAAUUUUUCCGGUGGAUAAAUACAUUUUUUGUUUCAAAAGGAGAGUACAAUGAAUAGGCUAUUGACCACAAAAAAUGUAUUUUGUUUUGUUUUCAAUAACUGAUUUUCACAGAUUGAUGGACAAAUAUAACAGAAUAAAAUCUUACACCACUAGGAAUAAUGAUGAUGAUCCCAAUGGUUCUAAGGGAAUAACAUUUGCUUUGUUGUAUGAAUCAUUCAUUAAAGAGCCAUCCACAGAUUA
Coregonus clupeaformis (lake whitefish) is the source of this 383-nucleotide long non-coding RNA. RefSeq lists it as uncharacterized. The transcript is spliced from 2 exons. The record is from RefSeq and is a predicted model, not a curated record. NCBI's taxonomy places the organism in Eukaryota, Metazoa, Chordata, Actinopteri, Salmoniformes, Salmonidae.